Molecule: long non-coding RNA, 1055 nt
Filed under: Gossypium barbadense (sea-island cotton)
Lineage: Eukaryota; Viridiplantae; Streptophyta; Magnoliopsida; Malvales; Malvaceae
Description: long non-coding RNA (GBAR_LNC001218)
Source: RNAcentral
UAAAUUAUUUAUUUUUGAUAAUAAAUAAUCUUAUUAAAAUUUAAAUAACAAUAACAAUAAUCAUUUACCAAAACAAAUUUAUGCUAAGGGUAUUCUGGUCAUUUUAGUUUUCUCCAUUAUGCUAUUACACCUCUAUUACAUUCAACCAAACACAGUUUUACUAUUACGCCUCUAUUCCAUUACAUUCAACCAAACAGUUGAUUUGCUAUUACACCUCUAUUCCAUUACACCUCUAAUCCAAUACACCUCUAAUCCAAUACAGCGAACCAAACGUGCUCUUAGUAUUAUUGUUUCUUAUUUGCUUUUAUUUGGUGUUCUGUGUUUCGGUAUCGAUGAAAAAUCUACCAAUAUGAUUUCGAAGUAUCGAUGAGUAUUACUUUAUACUCUUAUAAAGUUAAAUCGAAAUACAAAAGAUUAAAAACCUAAUAUAUUUCGAUUUUCCGAAAAGGAACUAUAAUUUAUCAGUCAAUACUUGGUUCUUUAUAAAACUAAAUUAUAAAAAUAGAGGAACCAUCAGAAACCAAAAAUUAUCCCCAGUAGCAAAAUAGCUAUACGGUCCGCAUCAUGGUUCAAUCUUCUCUUCAAAGAAGAUCGCAUCAUUUGGUUCCUUUAUUUCAAUUUUCCUUUUAACCUUUGGAACUGAAAAACGAAGAUAAUCAAACACUGGUAAAAAAUUCCUUCGUAAAAAAUAUAGAAUGAAAAAGAGCUCAGAAAAAAACUAUGGGUAGAGAGACUUAUCAGCACAAAUUAAAAUCAGCGUGGUGCAUGACUUUCUCUAAUUUUCUCAUCAUCGCCCAAAUUAUACGAUAAGAAAUGAAAUUUGAAACAAAGUUAAUAACAAAAUAAAGAAAUAAAGAACCUGCAGACUAACCUGAGCGAUCCCAUGUAAGUAGCAAGGAAGCUCUUGGCGGAGGCACUUUGCUAGAUUUGACACUUUAUAAAGGGAAGAAGAAGCUCUAUAAAGAAAAACCCUAAUCGAGCAUCUCGCGUUUUAAAUUUUUAUUGUCAUUACAAUAUUACCCUCAAUUACCUUUACUAUUUACCUUUUUUUUUUU